UUUAAUAAUAUUAUUCUAAGCUGGCAUGAAAAGUGAUUAUCCGCGCUGUGAUUGGUCCGGUUAUCUGACCCGGGGACUGCCAGGAGAAGACAAUAGUUUUAGUCAAAUUAUUUGCCAUGGUGACGCUGUCAAUCAGGGGUAACCCGAUCUGUUUUGAGGUGGCUCCCCGGCUGGGUUGACAGAUUGCUCAGAUCCACUCAGAGGCGGCCCCGAGAGCUGAGAUAUUAGCUAGCGAGGGAGAAAUUUCCGUCGUGAUUGACGCUGCAGGCGCCCGUCGGGGGAGAGGGGGAGCGCGGUGCCCGGGCCCCUGCUCCUCGCCGCGGGGCACUGCGGCGCGGCGGGACGGAGCCGCUGUCUCGGCCGGGCUCCGCCGUCCCGUCUGGAUCCCGCAGCCCCAUCCCAUACCCGCUGCUCGGGACGGACAGCGGGCUCUGCCGUCCCUGGCAGCCGCGGCUGCAGUGGGAGGAAAAGCCCGUCUCCGACCCUUACAGAAAAAAUUCUUUCUAAAAGCGUUCCCUUGUAGCCCCUCUCCCCAGCGCCCAGUAACCACUGUUGGAGAGUUUUAUAAGGAAGGGGCCUCUCAUGUACAAUGGAGACCCUGUUCGUGACCUGGGAUCCCAUUUCACGCUUCUCGUACCUGCCCGGGAGCGAGAAGAAGGCACGAUGAUACGGGGCCGGAGAGGGAUUGCCUCUCCAUGAAUCGCCGGCCGUGCCCCACAGCGCUCCAGCGUGAAGGGCGCUGGCAUUUGUGAUCCCCGGACGCCGGACAUUUACUUAUACUCGAUUUCCAGAGCGUGUCGGGGUGUUUCAUCCAGGAGAGGAACACGUGUAAAAGUCAGAGAGACUUCUCUUGAUUAAACGGACCCUUAUCACCCACGCGUGCCCUUUGCACACCGCGUUUUAAGUUUACCGACUCCGCGGGGCAGGGACCCGCAUCAUUUCCCGUCCUUUGUCGGUCUACACAAAGUGAAAGGCGAGGGAGAGAGGUAGUGCAAGCUGCAAGGUCGAGGGAGAGGGUGCGAUGAGCGGCUGAAGGGAGCCGCGGUGCCUUCUCGGGAGCGGCGCACGGGGGGGCGGCCGAGUGGGACCGCCGGGGCGGAGGCUGGCGCCGGGGAUCGCCCAGUCCUGACAGGAGAGGUCUCUGCAAUUGUGGGUUCCUGCCACGGUACCUUUUUAGCCACCACGGCGCGUCAGGGAUUUAGCGAAGCCACAAGAGACCGGACUGCGGCUCCCCGCCUCGCAGCCUGAGCCUCCGCGGCCGACGCACCGAGCCUCCGGGCCGGCCCGAGCGGGCGCAGCGGCCGUUCCCGGGGGAAGGCGAGGCUGGGGCGGCGGCGCGCAGCCCGGCGGCCCCCGGCGGCGGCGGCUCCCGGCGAGGAGCCGCGCCAGGGCUGCGGCCGGGGGAAAUGCGGCGGGGGAGGGAGGCAGGAGGAGGAGGAGGAAGAGGGCGGAGUAGGGGGGCAGCGGAUCAACCGUGUCCAGCUCCCAGCAUGUCCGAACGCCUGUGUAUAUCCGCGGCGUAUGCCCGUACUUUCUCGAGUGCACUCUGCUGAGGAAGCUGUCCUCCUACCUGUCCGUCCGGUCUUUUCACGAGUGCUGCCAUAGGGAAACAGUGGCAAGCGGGCGGUUCCCGCCCUGGAUCCUCCGGGAACGGAAAAUAGAGGCUUCUUUUUCAGAUGGAGGAAAGAACAGCUCAAAUUCGUUUAAAACAAAAUCGGGCUUGUGGGUGACAGUGGUUAAAUCUGAACGGGAGCAGCUGUUAGCCCUAGUUGGAAAGGAGAUGUCAAAACCUGUUGCUUAGAUUUAGACCUGAAAAAGUCUUCUUAGCAUCCUAAAAUGUGAGUACAGAGUUUACACUCCAGCUCCUCCAUAGGCGCUUUCACUUUAGGCUGCCUUAGCCAGGCUGCAGCUUGCAUGUAAUGUAAGUUCACUUCCCGGAGAGCUGGGCAGAGGCAGGGCUACCCCCUUCCCGGGCACCCUGUAUCAGCUUGCGUCCUAGAGCUAUCGUAAAUUAGUGACAUCUGGAUCCAAAUUCUGCAUAACUGCUUUUAUCUUUAGGGAAAGAGAAAAUUUUUCCUACGUGCGAGAAGCAGAUACUGGCUGCACAGCCGCGGCGCUGAGCGAAUCGCAUUGUAGUGCCUUGCGAGCGAAAUAGGCAAUCGGGAGAGGAGCUUUUUUUGGCAUUUGCGAAGGCUCUCGUUCCCUGACAUUAUAUUUCAGAGCAGGAGGAGCGAAUCGCCUGCUCACAUUUGCCCCUGGACCGACGAGAUGGUUUCGCCUGGCUACUGCCAGCUGUCUCCCGUUUAGCUGUCGUGGAAAGUUUUAGC
Molecule: long non-coding RNA, 2327 nt
Organism: Pyrgilauda ruficollis (rufous-necked snowfinch)
Lineage: Eukaryota; Metazoa; Chordata; Aves; Passeriformes; Passeridae
Exons: 3
Source: RefSeq, a predicted model, not a curated record